CAGCUAAAACAUGUUCUGUCACUGUUGCGCGCCAGUUACGACCGGACGACGACCGUAAACCUCUUAAGUUAUUCUGGUCUUUAUUAUUGCCUGCCCUCUAUCAAUGGAUCCUCAACCUGAACCAGUCAUCUAGAUCUGUGGAGCCAAGAGAACACGCUGAAGCCAGAUGAUGUAAUUCAGCUCCGCAAGUGCGGUUAUCGUAUCCUCUACAAGAAAUGUAUCUGAAGAAGAGAAUGAUGUUUGUAACAAAUUUAGUUGUAUGGGAGGAUGAUGUUCAUAACUUGUGAUGGACAUCUAGAACUGUCAAUAGGAAGUGAAAGUUGCAGAGAGUUCUCGUUGCACAGAGAAAAUGGGUCUUAAUGGAUAUUUAUAUCUUGGUAUGUAGAGAAAUAGAGAUGACGGGGCUAAUUCUUUUAGUUUUAUCUUGGUGAAGAUGCUUGAAGGGCGUGUUAAAUACUGAAGCCAGUUGCUCUGUAGAAUAACAUGUUAUUUUCUUAAAUCCCUUCUUCAUUUGUUAACUUGUACGUAUUUAAGUUAUUGGGAGCUAAAUGUUGUAUUUGCCU
This is a long non-coding RNA of Olea europaea var. sylvestris, 563 nucleotides long. RefSeq lists it as uncharacterized. The record is from RefSeq and is a predicted model, not a curated record. The transcript is spliced from 3 exons. Lineage: Eukaryota; Viridiplantae; Streptophyta; Magnoliopsida; Lamiales; Oleaceae.